RNAcentral lists this ribosomal RNA (390 nucleotides) under uncultured bacterium. Its description in RNAcentral is "bacterial SSU rRNA". It matches the Rfam family "Bacterial small subunit ribosomal RNA", at positions 28 to 416 of the family's 1533-position model. The record is from RNAcentral.
GACGAACGCUGGCGGCGUGCUUAACACAUGCAAGUCGAGCGGUAAGGCCCUUUCGGGGGUACACGAGCGGCGAACGGGUGAGUAACACGUGGGUGACCUGCCCUCAGCUCUGGGAUAAGCCUGGGAAACUGGGUCUAAUACUGGAUAUGACUCCACGGUGCAUGUCGGUGGGGUGGAAAGCCUUGUGCGGCUGAGGAUGGGCCCGCGGCCUAUCAGCUUGUUGGUGGGGUGANGGCCUACCAAGGCGACGACGGGUAGCCGGCCUGAGAGGGCGACCGGCCACACGUGGGACUGAGACACGGCCCAGACUCCUACGGGAGGCAGCAGUGGGGAAUCUUGCGCAAGUGGGCGAAAGCCUGACGCAGCGACGCCGCGUGAGGGAUGACGGCC